RNAcentral lists this small nuclear RNA (294 nucleotides) under Jaculus jaculus (lesser Egyptian jerboa). RNAcentral describes it as "7SK RNA (ENSJJAG00000007173.1)". It matches the Rfam family "7SK RNA", at positions 1 to 294 of the family's 331-position model. From Rfam's summary of the family: 7SK was discovered as an abundant small nuclear RNA in the mid-70s but a possible function has only recently been suggested. The record is from Rfam by way of RNAcentral. Lineage: Eukaryota; Metazoa; Chordata; Mammalia; Rodentia; Dipodidae.
GGAUGUGAGGGCAAUCUGGCUGCGACAUCUGUCACUCCAUUGAUCACCAGGGUUGAUUCAGCUGAUCUGGCUGGCUAGGCGGGUGUCCCCUUCCUCCCUCACCGCUCCAUAUGGGUCCCUCCCGAAGCUGUGUGCUCAGUUGAAGAGGAUGACCUUCCUUGAAUAGAGGAGGACCGGUCUUCAGUCAAGGGUAUACGAGUAGCUGCACUCCCCUGCUAGAACCUCCAGAAAGCUCUCAAAACUUCUGACCUGGAAGAUAGGACAGAAGAAAUUGGUCAGGAGACCAAUAACCUU